RNAcentral lists this ribosomal RNA (346 nucleotides) under Urocerus gigas. RNAcentral describes it as "partial 16S ribosomal RNA". Lineage: Eukaryota; Metazoa; Arthropoda; Insecta; Hymenoptera; Siricidae. The record is from RNAcentral.
AUAAUCAAUUGUUUUUUAAUUAAAAGCUUGAAUGAAUGGUUGAACGAGAUAUAAACUGUUUCAAAUUAAAUAGAAUUUGAAUUUAAAUUUUUAGUAAAAAUGCUAAAAUAUGAUUUAAAGACGAGAAGACCCUAUAGAAUUUAAUAUUUUAAUUGAAUAAAUAUAUGAAAAUUUAAUUUUUAUUUAAAUAAAUUAUUUAAUUGGGGCAAUUUUAGAAAAAAAAAUUUAUAUAAAUUAAACAAAAGUAAUUGAAUUUUUGAGUGUUUAUUAAGAAAUAUAAGAUAAAAUUACCUUAGGGAUAACAGCAUAAUUUUUUUUGAAAGUUCAAAUUAAUAAAAGAGAUUGU